RNAcentral lists this transfer RNA (75 nucleotides) under Actinomycetaceae bacterium. RNAcentral's name for it is "tRNA-Val". It matches the Rfam family "tRNA". Rfam says of the family: Transfer RNA (tRNA) molecules are approximately 80 nucleotides in length. Their secondary structure includes four short double-helical elements and three loops (D, anti-codon, and T loops). Lineage: Bacteria; Bacillati; Actinomycetota; Actinomycetes; Actinomycetales; Actinomycetaceae. The record is from RNAcentral. RNAcentral also lists the same sequence under 4 other names.
GGGCGGUUGGCGCAGUGGUAGCGCGCUUCCUUGACACGGAAGAGGUCGCUGGUUCGAUCCCAGUACCGCCCACCA